GACGAACGCUGGCGGCGUGCUUAACACAUGCAAGUCGAACGGAAAGGCCCUGCUUUUGUGGGGUGCUCGAGUGGCGAAAGGGUGAGUAACACGUGAGUAACCUGCCCUUGACUUUGGGAUAACUUCAGGAAACUGGGGCUAAUACCGGAUAGGAGCUCCUGCUGCAUGGUGGGGGUUGGAAAGUUUCGGCGGUUGGGGAUGGACUCGCGGCGUAUCAGCUUGUUGGUGGGGUAGUGGCUUACCAAGGCUUUGACGGGUAGCCGGCCUGAGAGGGUGACCGGCAACAUUGGGACUGAGAUACGGCGCAGACUCGUAGGGGAGGCAGCAGUGGGGAAUAGUGCACACUGGGCAGGAGCCUGAUGCAGCAACGCCGAGUGCGGGAUGACGGCCUUCGGGUUGUAAACCGCUUUCGCCUGUGACGAAGCGUGAGUGACGGUAAUGGGUAAAGAAGCAGCGGCUAACUACGUG
Molecule: ribosomal RNA, 468 nt
Filed under: uncultured bacterium
Lineage: Bacteria
Description: partial 16S ribosomal RNA
Rfam family: Bacterial small subunit ribosomal RNA
Source: RNAcentral